GACGAACGCUGGCGGCGUGCUUAACACAUGCAAGUCGAACGGUGAAGCGCCUUCCUUUUUGGUGGGUGUGGAUGAGUGGCGAACGGGUGAGUAACACGUGAGUAACCUGCCCCCUUCUUCUGGAUAACCGCAGGAAGGUGUGGCUAAUACGGGAUAUUCUGGGUCUGUCGCAUGAUGGGUCUGGGAAGGAUAUUGUUUCGGUGGGGGAUGGGCUCGCGGCCUAUCAGCUUGUUGGUGGGGUGAUGGCCUACCAAGGCGGUGACGGGUAGCCGGCCUGAGAGGGUGGACGGUCACACUGGGACUGAGACACGGCCCAGACUCCUACGGGAGGCAGCAGUGGGGAAUAUUGCACAAUGGGCGCAAGCCUGAUGCAGCGACGCCGCGUGAGGGAUGGAGGCCUGCGGGUUGUGAACCUCUUUCGCCAGUGAAGCAGGCCUGCCUCGUUUGUGGGUGGGUUGACGGUAGCUGGAGAAGAAGCGCCGGCUAACUACGUG
Molecule: ribosomal RNA, 494 nt
Filed under: uncultured bacterium
Lineage: Bacteria
Description: partial 16S ribosomal RNA
Rfam family: Bacterial small subunit ribosomal RNA
Source: RNAcentral